Molecule: ribosomal RNA, 492 nt
Filed under: uncultured bacterium
Lineage: Bacteria
Description: partial 16S ribosomal RNA
Rfam family: Bacterial small subunit ribosomal RNA
Source: RNAcentral
AUUGAACGCUGGCGGUAGGCCUAACACAUGCAAGUCGAACGGCAGCACAGUAAGAGCUUGCUCUUACGUGUGGCGAGUGGCGGACGGGUGAGGUAUACAUCGGACUCUACUUUUUCGUGGGGUAUCACGUAGGGAAACUUACUCUAAUACCGCAUACGACCUACGGCUGAAAGCAGGGGAUCUUCGGACCUUGCGCUAUUGAAUGAGCCGAUGUCGGAUUAGCUAGUUGGCGGGGUAAAGGCCCACCAAGGCGACGAUCCGUAGCUGGUCUGAGAGGAUGAUCAGCCACACUGGAACUGAGACACGGUCCAGACUCCUACGGGAGGCAGCAGUGGGGAAUAUUGGACAAUGGGCGCAAGCCUGAUGCAGCCAUACCGCGUGGGUGAAGAAGGCCUUCGGGUUGUAAAGCACCUUUGUUGGGAAAGAAAAGAAGCAGGUUAAUACCCCGCUGUUCUGACGGUACCCAAAGAAGAAGCACCGGCUAACUUCGUG